This 466-nucleotide ribosomal RNA is filed under the name uncultured bacterium. RNAcentral's name for it is "partial 16S ribosomal RNA". It matches the Rfam family "Bacterial small subunit ribosomal RNA", at positions 28 to 507 of the family's 1533-position model. The record is from RNAcentral.
GAUGAACGCUGGCGGCGUGCUUAACACAUGCAAGUCGAACGAUGAAGCCCAGCUUGCUGGGUGGAUUAGUGGCGAACGGGUGAGUAACACGUGAGUAACCUGCCCUUAACUCUGGGAUAAGCCUGGUAAACUGGGUCUAAUACCGGAUAGGAGCGUCCACCGCAUGGUGGGUGUUGGAAAGAUUUAUCGGUUUUGGAUGGACUCGCGGCCUAUCAGCUUGUUGGUGGGGUAAUGGCUCACCAAGGCGACGACGGGUAGCCGGCCUGAGAGGGUGACCGGCCACCAUGGGCCUGAGAGACGGCCCAGACUCCAACGGGAGGCAGCAGUGGGGAAUAUUGCGCAAUGGGCGCAAGCCUGAUGCAGCGGCGCCGCGUGAGGGAUGACGGCCUUCGGGUUGUAAACCUCUUUCAGUAGGGAAGAAGCGAAAGUGACGGUACCUGCAGAAGAAGCACCGGCUAACUACGUG